RNAcentral lists this transfer RNA (36 nucleotides) under Arnhemia cryptantha. RNAcentral's name for it is "partial tRNA-Leu (UAA)". The record is from RNAcentral. Lineage: Eukaryota; Viridiplantae; Streptophyta; Magnoliopsida; Malvales; Thymelaeaceae.
AAAAUCCGUCGACUUUAAAAUCGUGAGGUUCAAGUC